This 301-nucleotide ribosomal RNA is filed under the name uncultured bacterium. Its description in RNAcentral is "partial 16S ribosomal RNA". It matches the Rfam family "Bacterial small subunit ribosomal RNA", at positions 509 to 809 of the family's 1533-position model. The record is from RNAcentral.
CAGUAGCCGCGGGAAUACAGAGGGUGCGAGCGUUAAUCGGAUUUACUGGGCGUAAAGCGUGCGUAGGCGGCUUUUUAAGUCGGAUGUGAAAUCCCUGAGCUUAACUUAGGAAUUGCAUUCGAUACUGGGAAGCUAGAGUAUGGGAGAGGAUGGUAGAAUUCCAGGUGUAGCGGUGAAAUGCGUAGAGAUCUGGAGGAAUACCGAUGGCGAAGGCAGCCAUCUGGCCUAAUACUGACGCUGAGGUACGAAAGCAUGGGGAGCAAACAGGAUUAGAUACCCCCGUAGUCCCUGUCUCUUAUCC